UUGUUUUAGUUUUUGUUUUAGUUUUUGUUUUAGUUUUUGUUUUAGUUUUUGUUUUAGUUUUUGUUUUAGUUUUUGUUUUAGUUUUUGUUUUAGUUUUUGUUUUAGUUUUUGGUUUUUUUUUUUUGUUUUUUUUUUUUUGUUUUAGUUUUUGUUUUAGUUAGUUUUUGUUUUAGUUUUAGUUUUAGUUUUUGUUUUAGUUUUUGUUUUAGUUUUUGUUUUGUUUCCAUUUACCUUGUUUAGUUUUUACUUAUUUUGUUUUAUGCAUUAUUAUAUUUUUAAUUUGAUUAUUUAUUUUAUCACUUUUAAUAAAUAAAGUUAUACAUGAUGGCUAAAAUUGAUAAUGUGCUCAAUACAAAUUGUAUUAACAACAACCACGUGUUAGAAUAUAAAAAUAAAAAUUUAUUAUCACAUCAUGAUAAAGAUAAUUUUAGUUAUUACGAUUCGAGUACUGGAAUGAAAGUGACUAAUAAUAAAAAAAUACACAGUCCCUUUUGUUUUAACUUACAAAAUUUUAAAUACGUAACAGCUUUUAAUAGUAAUGAAAAAAAAAAAAAAAAAAAUAUAGAACAUGUUAUACAGCAAAAUAUUAAAAAUAUAGAAAAUAAGCACAAAAUGGUAAACUAUAAACGACACAAUAUAAAAUGUUGUAAUGCUAAUAUUGAAAGUACUAAUGGUAGUAGUAAUACAUGUAGUAUCAAUAGUAAGAAUACAAAUAUGUGCAACAUGAAUAAAAAAAAUGAUACUAUAUUAUUCAAGUCUAAUGAUGUACAUAAAGGCUUUGGAGUGAAUAAUGCAAAUAUGCUAAACAGUACAACUGGAGAUACAACAAAGUUAGAUAGUAAACGAUUAAUUAAUGCAUCUGAAGAAUCCACAAAAUUAGGUAACAUACACUUAAAUAGCAAAAAAAUAGAAGAUUUUUCAAAUGCAUUUAAAAUGAAUAAUUUAAAUAGUGAAACUUUUAUACGUUGCAAACAUUUAAAAAAAAAAAAAUACAUAAAUAAUUUUGUAAAAACAAAAAAUAACAUGUCAGAUAAAACGAACAAUGUAGUAAAAAACAAUAUCAAUUCUAAUACUAAAAAAAAAAAUAGUAAUAUUGUAAAUAAAAAUUUAUCUAGCAAUACAUCAACAAAAAACAUAACAAAUAAAGUCGAAAACACAAAGAGUACUAAUGAAAAAAAAAUAGAUGUAUCGAAUAUAAUCAAAAAAAAUGAUAAUAAUGGAAUUGAUUUGGAAAAUAUACGAAAUAAUACAUUUUCUAAUGAUAUGAAAAAAAAAUCUUGCGUUGUUAUUGAUAAUGUACAUACUAGCACAGAUGGUAACCAUGAAAUUACUAACAAUAAAAAUAACCACUCUAGCAAUACAACCGAUUCUAACUAUGCAAAAAAUAAUACUAGCAAUGAUAAGAUAAUUUGUAUGACCACUAAACAUGAUAAACGUUACAAGCGCAAAAAACGUAAUAAUAAUGGUAAUAAGGGUAGUAGUAGUAAUUCCACUAAUGACAGUAGUAAUGUUACUAAUAAUGGUACUAAUACUACUACACAUAAUGGUAGUACUACUAGUAAUAGUGCCAGUACUACUAGUAAUAGUGUCAAUACUACUACUAAUAAUGUCAAUACUACUACUAAUAAUGUCANNNNNNNNNNUAAUAAUGUCAAUACUACUACUAAUAAUGUCAAU
Molecule: long non-coding RNA, 1677 nt
Organism: Piliocolobus tephrosceles (Ugandan red Colobus)
Lineage: Eukaryota; Metazoa; Chordata; Mammalia; Primates; Cercopithecidae
Source: Ensembl